This 429-nucleotide ribosomal RNA is filed under the name uncultured prokaryote. RNAcentral's name for it is "bacterial SSU rRNA". It matches the Rfam family "Bacterial small subunit ribosomal RNA", at positions 355 to 796 of the family's 1533-position model. The record is from RNAcentral.
UGGGGAAUUUUCCGCAAUGGGCGAAAGCCUGACGGAGCAAUACCGCGUGAGGGAGGAAGGCUUUUGGGUUGUAAACCUCUUUUAUUAAGGAAGAAGCAAGUGACGGUACUUAAUGAAUCAGCAUCGGCUAACUCCGUUGCCAGCAGCCGCGGUAAUACGGAGGAUGCAAGCGUUAUCCGGAAUUAUUGGGCGUAAAGCGUCCGCAGGUGGUUUUUCAAGUCCGCUGUCAAUGACCGGAGCUUAACUCCGGAGAGGCAGUAGAAACUGAGGAACUAGAGACCGGUAGGGGUAGAGGGAAUUCCCAGUGUAGCGGUGAAAUGCGUAGAGAUUGGGAAGAACACCAGUGGCGAAAGCGCUCUACUGGGCCGGUACUGACACUCACAGGACGAAAGCGAGGGGAGCGAAAGGGAUUAGAUACCCCUGUAGUCC